Molecule: long non-coding RNA, 4514 nt
Organism: Peromyscus californicus insignis
Lineage: Eukaryota; Metazoa; Chordata; Mammalia; Rodentia; Cricetidae
Exons: 5
Source: RefSeq, a predicted model, not a curated record
ACAAGGUUCACCGGCGGGACCAGCAAAGCCUCUGCGUGCCUUGGAGCUGUCUCUUUCCCCUUGUAGAAAAGAUACACGCCACACCAGCCAGACUCCAUUUAUUGAUCUAUUUGACACUUAUUGAGGUGCCUGCCAGGCACUGUUUUAGGCACUGAAUACACAGCAUUGAAUAAAGUAGAGAAGCCUUGCCUCCAAGGAGCUGAUAUCCUUACUCGUAGAUCAUGCAUAAACAGAGCCCACUGAAGCCAGACAUGGUGGCACAUGCCUGUAAGUCCAGCCCUUGGGAGGUGGAGGCAGGAGGAUCCGGAGUCCAUGGUCAUCCUCGGCUGUGUAUCAAGUUUAAAGCCAGCUUCGGUACACGAAACCCUCCCCAACACUGCCCCCUCUCAGAAAAGUGCUGAGAAGAGGGCUGCAGGUCCCAUGGGACUGGAGUUACAGCUAGUCGUAAGCCGACAUGUAUGUUCUGUUUUGACGGCUGGCUCGUCUGAGACAGUGACAGCUGUGUAACCUGAGCUAGCCUCAGACACCUGACGUUCCCGCCUCAGUCUCCCAAGUGGUGAGAUGGCAGGCUUGCUGGAGAAUCACACUCUUCCUUCUGAGCUCUGGAAAUCACAUGGAAGCUACCGUAUCCACCCAGCAUGUAUGUGGAUUCUGGGGAUCAAAACCGGUGCAUGCUUGCUGUUCCCCAACAUGCAUUAUAACCAUUACAGUAUCUCUCCAGUCACCACACUCAGCUUAAAAAAAAAAUGUAUGUGUGUGUAUCAUCUGUGUUGGUGCCCUAGGAAGCCAAAAAGAGGAUGCUGCAUCCCCUGGAGCUGGAAUUCCAGGCCACUAUGGAUGACUUGACAUGGGUGUGGGGUUGGGGGUAGGGAGAUAUUGAACUCUGGUCCUUCACAAGAGCAAUAAGGGCUCUAAACCACUGUGAAAGUGUUUGAACCGCUAAGCCAUCUCUGCAGCCCUAUACCCAGCUGUUUUAUGUGAGUGCUGGGGAUCCAAACUCAGGUCUUCAUGCUUGGGCAGCAAGUGCUCUUUCUUAUGCCCUGAGGAAUCAUCCCGCCAGCUGAUUUUCUGUUGGAGUUGCUCUCCUGGUGUCUUGACUUACAACUGUUCUUUUGACCUUGUAGAUACUUUCUGGAAUUUUAACAUUACAAACACCUUUCCCCUCCAGCCAGCUAAUAUUGGUCCCGUGGUGCCUCGUGGAAAGAAAUCUACGCUGAUGCUAUCAGAUGCGUGUUUCCCCGUUGUGGGUUUCUGCUCUUUGACUCAGAGGCUCUUCCUUUGUGGUCACGAGCAUUCUUAGGGGUGGGAAUGGUCAUCCAGAGGGCCUUGAAGGCUGAGUGUUUAUGCACAAGGGCCAAGGCCCUCUCCCACCUCCUUCUUUGGGGUCUUUUCUGCACCCCUGGGCCUUGGAGAUACUCUCACACUGGAGGCUAAGCUGGUGCUGGGGGAAAGCGGCGGGGCUCUGUAUUGUUGAAGGACUGCACUGCUGGAGACAGGGGAAGGCAAAGAGCUGUGAAGAGAGGGAGCACCAAACCAGGGCGCUUCAUUUGAAGAGAGAACUAAAGUAGGCCUUCUUGGCUAUGUAAAAAGAUGCCCAAUGGUGAACGCUUUCAAUGAAAAAGAAAGGAUCAAACAUACUCUCCUGAAAGUGCUGUUCCAUUGAACCCACUUAAAGUACUAGGUUUGGCAGAAUCAUUCUACUAUGGCCCAUUUAUUCUACUCCUGGAAACUGCCCUACAGAAUUGCAGGCUUUGUGUUCCCCAAGAGCGGAAUGCUUGAGUAGUGCCAUCAGGGCUCAGUGGGAGUGCACCCACUGGAAUGUGCAGGCUCUAGGUUCCAUUGUGGUGUGGUAAGAACAAAUGCAUUUGGAGGAGUGGGAGCACACACCUGGAACCCCAGCACUUGGAAGGUGGGGGCUGGAGGAUCAGGCAUUCAAGGCCAUCCUUCUUUUACAUUGCAAGUUCAAGGACAGCCUAAGCUACACGAGCCUGUCUCAGAACACAAAACAGCCCUCUUCUGGCAAUACAUAUCAGUGUUUUGCCUGCAUAUAUGUGCGUCUAUUAUGUGCAUGCUUGGUUCCUCAGAGGCCAGUAGAGAUCCCCUGGAACUAAAGUUACAGUUUCGGGCCAUCAUGUGUGUGCUGGGAAUUGCACUUGGGCGCUCUGGAGGACCACUGUGCCAUCCUUCGAGCCCUGAAAUGUACUGGUUUUAAUAGAGCCAUAAAGCAACUCAGCUGUCCAUUGUAAGAAAAUUGAUGAAUCAAUCAUGCACUAGCACACAAUGAAAGGCAACACAGUAACAAAAAGCGGGGACGUGUAUCCAAAUAGAAUAACAUGGUAACACUAACAAAAGCAGAAAGAUGAAUGGAAGAAACCUGACACAGUCCGUGAGGGCACGCACAAACAGCGCUUUUUAAGAUGUGUUUUUAUUAUUUUUUAAUUAAGUGCAGGCAUUUGUGUCUGUACGUGAGUGUGUGCCAAUAUCUUUAGAGGCCAGGGCAUUAGAUCCCCUUGGAGCUGGAGUUACAUAUGGUUGUGAGCUACGGGAUGUGGGUGCUGCGACCUGAACUCCAGUUCUCCGAAAGGGCAGCCAGUGCUCUUGACUGCUGAGCCAUCUCUCCAGCCCCUCCUUAACAGUUUUAAAGCAGAUAAAACUACUCUGUUACAAAUGAGACUGCAGAUAAACCGUGGCAGGCGGUGAUGGAAGACAAGGGCACCAAGAGAGAUUAAGAACGUUCCGGAGUCAUUUGACAUUUUUGGUUUUGGAUUCUUUUGAGGCGUGGGGUUAGGUAGCCCCAGUCUAGAGCUGUGUAGACCAGGUAAGUCUUGAACUCAUAGAGCUCUGUCUCCCCCGACCCCACCAAAGGUGCUAGGAUGAAAAGUAUGUGAGCCACCACAAUUGGGCUGUCUUGUUUUGUUUGUUUUUCGAGACAGGGCCUUACUAUGUAGCCCUGGCUGUCCUGGAACUUACUUUGUAGCCCAGGCUGGUCUCAAACUCACGGAGAUCCUCCUGCCUCUGCCUUCUGAGUGCGUGUGCCACCAUCACCUGGCUUUUUUUUUUUUUUCCAGAAUCUCUUUAGAUUAGGGUGACUUCAAACUCAACAAGUAGCAGAGGAUGACCUAGAACUCCCGAUCCUCCAGCAUCACCUCAAGCACUAGAGAUUAGAGGUGUGUAACACUAGGCCUAGCUGAUCUCCUGUCCUUGAUGUGAGCAUCGUAGGGGUUUCCUCAGCCAGUCACAACUCUUCAGCCUAAAUUCCAGUGUGUGCUUUUUUUUGGUACUUCAAUUAAAAAUAUGUCAAGCAUGAUACAUUUAGAUAAAAGAACAAAACAUACAUACGCAAGAGUAAAGUCCGUUUCCAUGGGUACAAAACUAUAUUAUAUAUACAGGAAACGGUGGAGACAAAACCGAAUAAUGUAUUGUGUAUAGUACUGUUCACAGAGCCUAAGAGGGCAGUGAAAAGGGACAGGGCUUUGAAACAGUCAUCCUGGCAGAGGCAGGCAGAUCCCUGAGUUAGAGGCCAGCCUGGUCUACAGAGGUAGUUGCAGGACAGCCAGGGCUACACAGAGAAACUGUCUUGAAAAAAAAACAAAACAAAACAAGACAAUAACAAAACCCAGUCAUUUUGUCUGUUUUAAAACUGUAUGAAGGAGCUGGAGAGACGGCUCAGGGUUUACCUCUAUCAGUAACAUUUUUAUAAAAAGAUAACCUUGGGAGUGGAGGAUGCGGCUCUGUUGAUAACGACUUGCCUAGGACACACAAAGCCCGAGGUUCAGAUCCAGCACUGUGUGAAUCAGGCAUGGGGAGCCACAGCUGCGAUCUCAGCACUUGGGAGAUGGAGGUGGAAGUUUAUCCUCAGCUACAAAGAGAAUUCGAGGUCAGUCUGAUCUACAACAAAAAACAGUGCCGUGCACUGAGUUAAUAUCAAAGUGAAAACCAAGGGGCUGCCCUGCUCCUGCGGAAGACCUCAACACCCAGGCCAUGUGGCUCGCGACUGCCUGGAACUCAGCUCCAGGGGGAUCCGAGGCUUUUAGCCUCCUCUAAGGGUACCAGUACUUGUGAGCACAUAGUCACAUGCAGCCCCACACAAACACAUGAUUAAAAGUCAAAAUAAAACACAACGAAAGAUGAGUAUACCUUUAGAAAAAAAAUAGAUAAAUAACUAAACCCCCCCAAAACCUUAGAGAAGUAGAUGGUACACAGUAGGUGCUACAUAAAGGUUUUACAAAAAAAAAAACCAACCAACCAAACAAACAAACCCAUGAAAAUGUUUUCCAGGUAUAGAUGGUGUCCUUCAAACCAGCCAUGCUAUUCACACCUGUAAUCCUAGCAUACUGGAGGCUGAAGCAGGAAGUUUACUGUGAGUACGAGGCCAGCCUGAGCUCCAUGAAAGUCUGACUUUAAAAAAUUAAAUUAAAUUAAAAAAAGAGAGAAAUACAGACUUUUCCUUUGAGCCUGUGUUUUUACAUAAAUAUCAGUCACACUUUUUAAAGCUGGUGUGGUGUGUGUGUGUG